GCAUUUUACUGUAUGUAAAGUACAUCUCACUUUAAAAAGAUACCCAUUAGACAGAAGAGAAAGAGGAAGCAGGUGACAUUACAAAACAAUUUUGAGGUGAAAAAGGAAGAUAACAAAGUUCUGUGGCAAGAACUCAACUUCUUUCUGGCCAGCAGGCUGUUGUAAUGGGCUUAGAUUGGUGUCAUGUGGUUAAACUUGGAUUCAAGAUAGUUCCUUUGCAGCAGAAAGGCAGGCAUGGGAGCUGGAUUAAAGGAAGGGGCACUUACACCCAGGCUUAAGGAGCAUACAAGGAGGAAAAACAAAUGGUUGCAUGACCUUGAGAAUUGUAAGUCAGACUGGCUUGUAUUGGAGAAGAAAAUGAAGACAAGAAAAUAGGGGAAAUGAUAUGAGUGGAGAGGAAAAAAAGGUUUUGAGGGCAGGGCAGGAACAGUGGGAGCUGGAAAUAUAAAGGUGGUCAGAGGGAUUGGCAUGAGUCCUUGAAAGUGAAGCAGUUACAAGUGCAAAAUGGCACUCUAAGAGAAAGACAGGAAAGAGGAACACUGUAUUUACAGAGCAUCAUCCACCCAAUGCCAGACAGUUUGCACACACUGACUCAUUUAAACAGCACCUCCACUUUGCAAGGAUGUACUACUAUUAUGAUAUUUAUAGAUGAGGAAACAGGUUCUGAGGUCAAUAAUUUGCCUUAGAGCAUAUUAGCAAGCAGCAGAAUAAUUUCAAAUCCAUAUUUGACUCCAAAGCCUCUUCCCACCAUGCUCAGCUGACCUUUAGGAAGAGAAUUUUAAGGAAUCCACAUAUGUAGAAUUGGAAGUCCUCUAGUGCUAGUGGAGGUAUAAAUAUAAGUAGACGGCAUGUGUUUCAGCAGUAUCUUUUAGAACCAUGCUUCAAGUUGGCAACAGAAAUAGAGAUCCUAUUAA
Molecule: long non-coding RNA, 914 nt
Filed under: Marmota monax (woodchuck)
Lineage: Eukaryota; Metazoa; Chordata; Mammalia; Rodentia; Sciuridae
Source: RNAcentral